GACGAACGCUGGCGGCGUGCCUAAUACAUGCAAGUAGAACGCUGAAGGAGGAGCUUGCUUCUCUGGAUGAGUUGCGAACGGGUGAGUAACGCGUAGGUAACCUGCCUGGUAGCGGGGGAUAACUAUUGGAAACGAUAGCUAAUACCGCAUAAUAGCAGUUAUUGCAUGAUAACUGUUUGAAAGGUGCAAUUGCACCACUAUCAGAUGGACCUGCGUUGUAUUAGCUAGUUGGUGGGGUAACGGCUCACCAAGGCGACGAUACAUAGCCGACCUGAGAGGGUGAUCGGCCACACUGGGACUGAGACACGGCCCAGACUCCUACGGGAGGCAGCAGUAGGGAAUCUUCGGCAAUGGACGGAAGUCUGACCGAGCAACGCCGCGUGAGUGAAGAAGGUUUUCGGAUCGUAAAGCUCUGUUGUAAGAGAAGAACGAGUGUGAGAGUGGAAAGUUCACACUGUGACGGUAUCUUACCAGAAAGGGACGGCUAACUACGUG
Molecule: ribosomal RNA, 495 nt
Filed under: uncultured bacterium
Lineage: Bacteria
Description: partial 16S ribosomal RNA
Rfam family: Bacterial small subunit ribosomal RNA
Source: RNAcentral